UACGUAGGGCGCAAGCGUUAUCCGGAAUUAUUGGGCGUAAAGAGCUCGUAGGCGGUUUGUCGCGUCUGCCGUGAAAGUCCGGGGCUCAACUCCGGAUCUGCGGUGGGUACGGGCAGACUAGAGUGAUGUAGGGGAGACUGGAAUUCCUGGUGUAGUGGUGAAAUGCGUAGAGAUCCGGAGGAACCCCAGAGGCGAAGGCGGCAUCCUGGCCCACGACUGACACUCAGACACGACAGCAUGGGGAGCGAACGGG
This 253-nucleotide ribosomal RNA is filed under the name uncultured bacterium. RNAcentral describes it as "partial 16S ribosomal RNA". It matches the Rfam family "Bacterial small subunit ribosomal RNA", at positions 524 to 776 of the family's 1533-position model. The record is from RNAcentral.